AACUAUGUUCUCUUUCCCUCCCCGCACAAUCCCAUUAUAUAAUCACAUGAGAAUUGACACUUUUCAAAACCUAACCCUCCUCUUGUUCUUCUCCUGCUGCUUGUUUGUUUUAUAGAGAUAAGAGAAUAUAGUUUGUGGGUGGGAGAAAAAUCUAUCCGAGAACAACUCCUGCUUACUUUGUUUGUUACAUGCUUACUUUGUUUGUUACAUAGAGUGUAGGUGUGAAAAAAGUUUGUGAGAGAAAAUAAAAUACAAGGUAGGAAAGGGAAAGGGAACACAAUACAAUAUAUGCUCUGAUUUAAGAUUGUUGCUACCUCCGGAAUGGAGUCCCCAACUGAAUCGGAUGACGAUGAAGACCCUCAAAUUGCUUGUCACACAAUUUUGGCUUUGGUGGUUUUAGGGAAAAUGAAAGAGAUAUGACCGGUGGAACGGAAGACAAAAUUGAAGUGAUUAUGCUUCCAGCUCAGCCAUCGUGUCUCCAGCACUCUAACUGAUCCGUACUCUAAAUUACAACGAAAACUAUAUACGUAGAUCAUAUUUUAGCAGAUUCCCUUCAUGAUUUGCCCAAGGAAUCCAUCAGAACAACAGCAAAAGAAGCAAACACAAUCCCUGGAUUGUGUCACUAAUUGGAAGAACCCUCAAGUCAUGCUACAGAAAAUAUUUCUAAACUUAUAACUGCAAACUAAGAACCAUAUUUUUCUAUUCUUUUUUAAAUAGGAAACCUUAGUUAUUUUCUUCAUUAUUAGUUUCCUAUAACAUUUUCUUAAAUUGUCAAAAGAGUCAAUGCUCCUAUAACUUUCUUAUAUCUUUUUGGAAAAAUUCAAGCAUAGAAAGGAGAAGAAAGGGGAACUUUUCCUCAAACCCAACUUUGAACUUCCAAGUUCAAAUCACUUAUACAUAUUACCUUAUUCUUACAUUUUCGUAGUUUACCCUUAACUAGGGGUCACAUAGAAACCCUUAAGUAGCAAAAAUAAGAAGAAAUAUAUGCAUAUACAAAAAGAUGAUACCAAUAUUCAGAUUCAUAUCUCUCGUUUCAAAUUACUUACUGAAGUUUGCCUGUACAAGAUUGCCAAAGGAAUCAUGUUUGAAUGACUGCCAACUUGACCAAUCCAUAACCUUUCCAAUGUUGCUCCUGGAAUUAGAUUCUUUGUUAAGGAGAAAUAAUUAUAUGUUCUGCCAAAUUAGAGAACAAAAGGUUGGAUAAGAAAACAUGUUUUUAUAUAUAGAUGAAAUAUUUUGUUAAAAAAAGGGAAUUAUAUCUUCUGAUAAAUAAUGUGCAUACAUAAAACAACCAUGUGCUCAUCAGAGAAAUCUUCCGUCUCUGUCAAUAAAUUCUGAAUUUAGCUGAAAUAUUCCUCUUUGUCCUCUGGUGUUGUUUACUCUAUCUCUUGUUACUAACUUUGUGUUUGUUACGCCAAAAAAAAGAGCAUCGCUAAAGUGAAAUUUCUGUAUACAAAUGAAGUAGAUAAAAUUUUAGAAAUGCAACUACCAAGAAUAAAGUAACACUCGGGAAAUAUGUCUUAUAAAUAGAGAUUUUUGGUUGGGGAGUUUUUGUGUUAAUAUGUGGUGACUACUCAAUGAUAAACAACACAAAGUAGGUAGUAACAAUCACAAAGUGAAUAGGGAUAGUUACCUGCCAGUGUCGAAUUCGAAGUAUUCCUAUUUUUACUAAAGAUCAUGCUAUGACAUGAAAGAUUCCAUACUUGUAACAUCCCAUCAGAAUGAAGCACAAAUGCAAGUGCGUUUCCACGAAAGAUGCAUAUCACCAAGUCUUGCACAGCCCCUAUCCUCCUUCCCCUGCAUUAUAAGUUCAUUUUCCAGGGUAUAAAAGAGUAAUUAACACGGCAAUUUAAAACUCUACAGUUCAAGAAAGAAAACUAAAGUGAUCCAUCGUGUUUUUGAGUAAAAUCUUUUAGUUACUUAUCAAAAAAAUGAUGCAUAACACAACUAACAUUAUAUACAUAAUGUAACAAAAGAUCCUACUUCUAUUCAAACAGGAGUGGACAAGGUAACCCACAGUAUUCUCUCUUCAUAAUUCAUUUAACCUUCUUGAUCUUCUUCUGUGGCUUGUUUGUUUUAUAGAGAUAAGAGAAAAUAGUUUGUGGGUGUGAGAAAAAUAGUUUAAGGGACUAAUGGUAAUAGUCAUGGAUUUUUAGUUAAGAGAUCGUUGCUCCAAUUAGGUUAAAGUUAGGGGACCAUUGCUACAAUUUUCUCUAUGCUUUUAUCUUUCAUUGUUUUUCGCCUUCGAAUUAGGUUGAUGCUUUUAUUCGUGGAGUAAAAAAUCCCAGCUACUAUUUUCAGAUCCGAUCAAAACUAAUAAUCCCAACUAGUUUUGUACUAUGAUCUCUUUCCCUCCCCCACAAGGGGUGUGCUAUCCACUCACCUUUUUUACUUCUCACACAUCUUCUUAGUUUUAGGUCGUCGGAUCGAAUGAAUCAAAGAAGAUUAAAUAACAUAAUUAACAAGAGGUGUGUGAAAAGUAAAAGGAUGUGCGUGGAUAUCACAACCUCUCCCAACAAUCCCAUUAUAUAAUCACAUGAGAAUUGACAUUUUCAAACCCUAACCCUCCUCUUGUUCUUCUGCUGCUGCUUGUUUGUUUUAUAGAGAUAAGAGAAAAUAGUUUGUGGGUGUGAGAAAAAUAGUUUAAGAGACUAAUAGUCAUGGAUUUUUAAUUAAGGGAACAUUGUUCCAAUUAGGUUAAAGUUGAGGGACAAUUGCUAUUUUCUCUAUGUUGUUAUCUUUCAUGCAGUUUUCGUCUUCGAAUUAGGUUAAUGCUUUUAUUCGUGGAGUAAAGAAUCUCAGCUAAUAUUUUCAAACCGAUCAAAACCAAUAAUCCCAACUACUAUUGUACAAUGAUCUCUUUCCCUCCCCCACAAGGGGUGUGCUAUCCACACACCAUUUUUUUACUUAUUAUACACUUUCUCAGUUUUAGACCAUCAAAUCGAAUGAAUCAAAGAAAAUCAAAUGACAUAAUUAACAAGACGUGUGCGGAUAUCACCCCCCCCCCCAGAAAAAAAAAAUCCAUUAUAUAAUCACAUGAGAAUUGACACUUUUCAAACCCUAACCCUCCUCUUGUUCUUCUGCUUGUUUGUUUUAUAGAGAUAAGAGAAAAUAGUGUGUGGGUGUGAGUAAAAUAGUUUAAGGAACUAAUGGUCAUGAAUUUUUAGUUGAGGGAUCAUUGCUCCAAUUAGGUUAAAAUUGAGGGAUCACUGCUACAAAUUUCUCUAUGCUUUUAUCUUUCAUGCGGUUUUCGUCUUCGAAUUAGAUUGAUGCUUUUAUUCGUGGAGUAAAGAAUCUCAACUACUAUUUUCAGAUCCGAUCAAAACUAAUAACCCUAACUACUAUCGUACUAUGAUCUCUUUCCCUCCCUCCCCCCCCCCCCACCACCAUUAUUUAGUUCACACACACCUUCAAUUUUAGACCGUUGGAUUGAAUGAAUCAAAGAAAAUCAAAUGACAGAAUUAACAAGAGGUGUGUGAAUAUCACACCCGCCCACAAUCCCAUUAUAUAAUCACAUGAGAUUGAUCAAAAAAAUAAUAAUCACAUGAGAAUUGACACUUUUCAAACCCUAACCCUCCUUUUGUUCUUCUUCUGCUGCUUGUUUGUCUUAUAGAGACUAGCAUUUGCCUACACACUUUGUGUGUAUGAACAUAUUUUUUUAGAAAAUAAGAAGGAAAGAGGGAGAGAGAACAUGGGGAGUGGGAGGUUUUUGUUUUUGGUUUUCUUUUGGUUUUUUUUUUUUAAUAUUGGAAGUAUUUUAACAUCACCUAUAGGUGAGACUUCAAUAAAAAUUGUAAAAUUUGGACCAACGAAAUUACAUUUUUGCCUAUCAUUUUGUGUGAUAGAAGACUAAUUUGUCUUUUCACCUUCUUUUGAUUGACAAAGAAGGUAGAGAUAAGAGAAAAUAGUUUGUGGGUGUGAGGAUAAUCUCUCCGAGAAAAACUCCUGCUUACUUUGUUUGUUUUAUAGAGGGUAGCUGUGAGAAAAGUUUGUGAGAGAAAAUAAAAUACAAAGGAAGAAAAGGAACACCAUACAAUAUAUGCUCUGAUUUAAGAUUGUUACUACCUCCGGAAUGGAGUUCCCAACUGAAUUGGAUGACGACGUAGACCCCCCCCCCCCCGGCGAAUUGCUUGUCACACAAUUUUGGCUUUGGUGGUUUUAGGGAAAAUGAAAAAGGUAACCAAGUAAUCCUGCAGCCAAUGCCGCAACUCGAUUGUGGUACUAUGGACGGUGGAACGGAAGACAAAAUUGAAGUGAUUAUGGCUCCGGCUCUAGAGGCCAACUAACUUGGCUCAAGAUCAUGUUGUGGCCACUACCAGUCGCGAUUGUAAUUGGCAUAUGGGCAUAUUACAUGCAUGACGAGGAGAGUAUCGCAAAGGGAUCCGACGGUUUCUUCAAAUCUUUGUAUCUCACUGUCCCGAAUACUGGUGUUUUGAUGUUGAUACAUUACUUUUUUUUUUUUUUUUUUUUGGCGCCUGGGGUUGGUUGUCUUCAAUCUCAAACAACUCAAGGACGGGUUUAACCAGAGUUCUAGCUAUAUCCAGCUUGUUUCUGCAACGAUUAUGUUGCUUUUAUUGCUGAUAGGCUUAGGUAUUUCAUUAUUAUAUGUAUUGGAGGGUGAGAAGUUCUACAAUUUAGAUGUGUGGUACUUUAAUAUAAUCACUAUAAUGAGAGUUGACAACGGGGAUUUUUCUUUCACGUCCCCCGAAGCUCAAGUUUUCGCUUCCGUCUAUGUAUUUAUAGCAUCGCUACUUGUGGAAAACUCUGAAGGGGAAUUAGACAAUGUUGCUGAUGAAA
Long non-coding RNA from Malus domestica (apple), 4797 nucleotides. RefSeq lists it as uncharacterized. NCBI's taxonomy places the organism in Eukaryota, Viridiplantae, Streptophyta, Magnoliopsida, Rosales, Rosaceae. The record is from RefSeq and is a predicted model, not a curated record.